This 1032-nucleotide long non-coding RNA is filed under the name Coturnix japonica (Japanese quail). Its description in RNAcentral is "lncRNA (ENSCJPG00005011673.1)". Lineage: Eukaryota; Metazoa; Chordata; Aves; Galliformes; Phasianidae. The record is from RNAcentral.
AUGGGCCCAGCUGCUGGAUGGGUGAGGGAAAGGACUGUCCUACUCUGUGCUGUGCAGCCUCAUCUCAAGCACCGUGUGCAGGGUUGGGUGCAUCAACAUAAGAAGGGCAGAGAACUAUUCCUAUUCAAUACCCUUGCCAGAGUUCAAGGAGCUCGGGCAGCGGUCUCAGACGUAGGGUUUGGAUUUUGUACGUGGAGCCAGGAGUUGGACCCAACUCUCCUUGCAGGUCCCGUGCCCCGCGCCACCGCGCACAGCUGGGCAGCGCAGGAGCCGAGCAGCCCGAGGCCGGGGCCAGCCCCUCUCUGCUGCCCCACGGCGCCCCUUCCCGGGCUCCCCUUACAGCCAGCGUUUGACUUCUUCAUUUUCUCGGCCGCAAAAGCGGUGACAAAUUGCUCAGGCUUCGUUUCUCUGCUGCGCCCACGGCGUGAUUUAUUGUGGCCGCGUUAUCGUGAAAUCAGGCUCCAUUCACAAUGUUUUUCUGGGAGAACUCGAUCCGCUCGCUGUUUAUUUGCCCCGUCCCUCCUCAUUAGCGUCACCGAUCCGCGAUGGCCCCGCUCGGUUCCAAACCGGCCCCGCUCGCACCUCGUCCCGCCCGCGGCUCGGAGGGGACAGCGCGGACGGACGAACGGCCGUCGGACAAACCGGAGGGAGACGCAGCGAUGCGGCGGGGAACAAACUCGCUGCAAACACCGUCUGACCCCGGUCCCGCCGCUCCAACCCACGCCGCGGCGCAGCCCAACCGCAGCCGCCGGGCCGGGCCUUCCCCCCGCGGCGGGGGGCGGUCGCUGGCCGCGGGCGGUGGCGGGGCCAGGUGCGUCCAGCCCCGCGCCGGGUUAUAAAGGGGCCGGGCCGGGCGGGCGGCUGGUGCGGCCGAACGGUAAGUGCGGGUCGGUGUCACGUCGGGGCUUCUCGCUCUAUUUUCUUCUUUUUUUUCUCCCUUCUUUCCUUCAUCCCCGCUUCUUUCCCGCAGCACAUAGCAAUGAGGAAGCGUUGUGCUGUUUUCUUUUGCAAACUAUCCAAGUCUCGAACUGA